GACGAACGCUGGCGGCGUGCUUAACACAUGCAAGUCGAACGAUGAAGCUGGAGCUUGCUCCGGUGGAUUAGUGGCGAACGGGUGAGUAACACGUGAGUAAUCUGCCCUUGACUCUGGGAUAACUGCGGGAAACUGUAGCUAAUACCGGAUACGACACCUUCGGGCAUCCGAUGGGUGUGGAAAGAAUUUCGGUCAAGGAUGAACUCGCGGCCUAUCAGCUAGUUGGUGAGGUAAGGGCUCACCAAGGCGGCGACGGGUAGCCGGCCUGAGAGGGUGACCGGCCACACUGGGACUGAGACACGGCCCAGACUCCUACGGGAGGCAGCAGUGGGGAAUAUCGCACAAUGGGCGAAGGCCUGAUGCAGCAACGCCGCGUGAGGGAUGAAGGCCUUCGGGUUGUAAACCUCUUUUAGUUGGGAAGAAGCGAAAGUGACGGUACCAACAGAAAAAGCACCGGCUAACUACGUGCCAGCCGCCGCGGUAA
This 484-nucleotide ribosomal RNA is filed under the name uncultured bacterium. RNAcentral describes it as "partial 16S ribosomal RNA". It matches the Rfam family "Bacterial small subunit ribosomal RNA", at positions 28 to 523 of the family's 1533-position model. The record is from RNAcentral.